RNAcentral lists this ribosomal RNA (122 nucleotides) under Thermoplasmatales archaeon. Lineage: Archaea; Methanobacteriati; Thermoplasmatota; Thermoplasmata; Thermoplasmatales. The record is from RNAcentral. RNAcentral also lists the same sequence under 1 other name.
UAUGACGGCCAUAGCGGCGGGGAGACACCCGGUCCCAUCCCGAACCCGGAAGUAAAGUCCGCCUGCGUCUCUGCCUGUACUGUACUGCGCAAGCGUACGGGAACGCAGAAACGCUGUCAACC